GACGAACGCUGGCGGCGUGCUUAACACAUGCAAGUCGAACGGAAAGGCUCCAGCUUGCUGGAGUACUCGAGUGGCGAACGGGUGAGUAACACGUGGGUGAUCUGCCCUGCACUUCGGGAUAAGCCUGGGAAACUGGGUCUAAUACCGGAUAGGACCGCACUUUGGUGUGUGUGGUGGAAAGGUUUUUCUGGUGUGGGAUGAGCUCGCGGCCUAUCAGUUUGUUGGUGGGGUAAUGGGCUACCAAGACGGCGACGGGUAGCCGGCCUGAGAGGGUGGACGGUGACAUUGGGACUGAGGUACGGCCCAGACGCCGACGGGAGGCAGAAGUGGGGAAGAUUGCACAAGGGGGGAAGCCCUGAUGCAGCGACGCCUCGUGGGGGAUGAAGGCCUUCGGGUUGUAAACUCCUUUCGCUAGGGACGAAGCUUGUUGUGACGGUACCUGGAGAAGAAGCACCGGCUAACUACGUG
RNAcentral lists this ribosomal RNA (468 nucleotides) under uncultured bacterium. RNAcentral describes it as "partial 16S ribosomal RNA". It matches the Rfam family "Bacterial small subunit ribosomal RNA", at positions 28 to 507 of the family's 1533-position model. The record is from RNAcentral.